This 70-nucleotide transfer RNA is filed under the name Acidobacteriaceae bacterium. RNAcentral describes it as "tRNA-Cys". The record is from RNAcentral. Lineage: Bacteria; Pseudomonadati; Acidobacteriota; Terriglobia; Terriglobales; Acidobacteriaceae.
AGCGUAGCGACGUAUGUUUUGCACGAACAAGGCCCAGCCGUCGGCGGUUCGAUCCCGUCCCUGGCCACCA